Molecule: unclassified non-coding RNA, 767 nt
Filed under: Hevea brasiliensis (rubber tree)
Lineage: Eukaryota; Viridiplantae; Streptophyta; Magnoliopsida; Malpighiales; Euphorbiaceae
Source: RNAcentral
AGGUGUAAGGAAGAGGCCAUGGGGUCGUUACGCUGCGGAGAUUCGUGACCCGGGUAAGAAGAGUCGGGUCUGGCUGGGUACUUUUGAUACGGCGGAGGAAGCGGCUAAGGCUUACGAUGCCGCUGCCAGAGAGUUUCGUGGACCUAAAGCGAAGACGAAUUUCCCCUUUCCGGCGGAGAUGAAUAAUGUUGGUAACAAUAACAGUCAGAGCCCGUGUGGGAGCAGUACCGUGGAGUCAUCCAGCGGAGAAACGGUUGUUCACGCGCCUAAUACGCGACACGCGCCGCUGGAGCUGGAUCUCACGCGCCGUCUAGGUGCCGCUGCUGAAGGUGGACGUGGAGGUGUCGGCUACCCGAUCUUACACCAGCAGCCGACGGUGGCGGUUCUGCCGAACGGUCAGCCGGUUUUGUUGUUUGAUUCUAUGUGGAGACCGGGAGUUGUUAGUAGGCCGUAUCAGGUUGUACCGGCGACGAUGGAGUUUGCCGGUGUCGGUGCCGGAGUUGUUACUAGUGUGUCGGAUUCGUCUUCCGUUGUGGAAGAGAAACAUUAUGGGAAAAAGGGACUUGAUCUUGAUCUUAACCUUGCGCCACCUAUGGAAGUUUAAAUUAAUGACGACGAUAAUCUAAUUUUGUGAGAGAGAGAUUAAGAGAGUGACAGAGCUAAUGGCUGAUUUUUGUAUAUAAGUUCAAAAGAAUUGAUUGCUUUUUUUUUUUUGGUAGCUGAAACUUUCUCUUGCUGUUUCUACCAUUUGUAACUCUAAAUCCUUU